Molecule: long non-coding RNA, 684 nt
Filed under: Olea europaea subsp. europaea
Lineage: Eukaryota; Viridiplantae; Streptophyta; Magnoliopsida; Lamiales; Oleaceae
Source: RNAcentral
CGUUAUUUCAAAAAUUAUAAGCAAAAUAAGGUACAAACUACCAAAAUAAUUUAUCCAAUGUUAUUCUACUGUAUAAGCACAACCGCCUUAGAUCAUUGCAAACAGAUUUUCAACCAUGCGAUACCCGUUAUUUCAAAAAUUAUAAGCAAAAUAAAUUACAAACUGCCAAAAUAAUUUAUCCAAUGUUAUUCUAAUGUAUAAGCACCAGAUUUUCAACCAUGCGAUACCCAUUAUUUCAAAAAUUAUAAGCAAAAUAAAGUACAAACUGCCAAAAUAAUUUGCCCAAUGUUAUUCUACUGUAUAAGCACAACCGCCUUAGAUCAUUGCAAACAGAUUUUCAACCAUACUCACUUUACUAAUCAUUUCAAGAUCCUUUCAACUUUAGCCUUUAAAAAAUAAAAACUCUAUAUUUUCUUUCUUUUUUGGCAGGAUUUAUUUUAAGAAUUUUCAUUUCAAUAUUACCAUGUUGACCAGUUGUGACUUAAAUAAUAAAUCAAGGAAAUAUAAACGUACGACAUGAAGUGUAGGUUUGACUGAUUAUUCUAGAAUCGAAAGUUUAAUUCAUUUUAAUGAUAUUUUGAAAAUAUAAGGGUCCGUUUCGUUUGACAUAAUCUUUGAAAAUUGAAAAUGAGAUUUUGAAACUCAAGAAUUGCUUUUGAAUCCAUUUAAUUAAUUUUAUAAAAA